This 371-nucleotide ribosomal RNA is filed under the name uncultured bacterium. Its description in RNAcentral is "bacterial SSU rRNA". It matches the Rfam family "Bacterial small subunit ribosomal RNA", at positions 527 to 896 of the family's 1533-position model. The record is from RNAcentral.
GGAGGGUGCAAGCGUUGUUCGGAUUUAUUGGGCGUAAAGCGCGUGUAGGCGGUUUCUUAAGUCUGAUGUGAAAGCCCUGGGCUCAACCCAGGAAGUGCAUUGGACACUGGGAAACUUGAAUACGGGAGAGGGUAGUGGAAUUCCUAGUGUAGGAGUGAAAUCCGUAGAUAUUAGGAGGAACACCGGUGGCGAAGGCGGCUACCUGGACCGAUAUUGACGCUGAGACGCGAAAGCGUGGGGAGCAAACAGGAUUAGAUACCCUGGUAGUCCACGCCGUAAACGAUGAGAACUAGGUGUUGCGGGUAUUGACCCCUGCAGUGCCGCAGCUAACGCAUUAAGUUCUCCGCCUGGGAAGUACGGUCGCAAGACUA